CUCAGAGUGAGUUGUCCUGGCAUUGAUGUUCCCUCUCCUGGCAUCCCAGAGGCCCCACGUGCCUCCUCUGUGCCUGGUGGACUCCCAGGUACCUUAAGGCUUUUGGCUCAGAUGCCCCUUCCCCCAGGAAGCCCUCCUGGCUUCCUCCCCCGUCCACUCCAGAUUUGUACACCCUCAUCAGGGCCUUUCCCCAGUGUUCUUAUUGCUCGUUGCUGCCCUGCAGGACCCUCGGCCUUGACUCCCCCACCUGGCCCUACUGUGCCAAAGCUCAGAGAGGUUGGGACAUUUGCCCAGUGUCACACAGCUGGGAAGUGGCAGAGCCCAGCACACGCUCAGACAGAUUGGAGCCCAGUGCUUUGCCUGCGGGCAGUGCAGCCUAGUGGCUAGGGAGGUGAAGAGGGCUAGGAGGCUGCUCCUGCCCCUGGUGUGGGGUCUUGGGCAGGUGACUUCACUUGUGACAUCGUUUUCGAGGCACCUCUGGACUCUGAGUGACCACAUCCCGGGCUCAGACAGGAGGACAAGGCUGGCCGGCCAAGGAAGGCUGCCUGCCUGUGCCUUCCCCCACCCCCCAACUUUGCUUCGUUGCCUCUGCUCUCUGCUUUAGCCUGGACCUGACCCCUGACCCCAGGGCUCAGCAAGCAGUGCUGAGUGAGGUGUCUGCACCUGUACAGUCAGGCCACUCAUGGUGGUCGUUCUUUGGCUGGCUGGCCACGCCCUGCCCGACCGACCAGGGCCUGCUUACCUACCAUCCCCUAGCACGGGACUGACCUUCCUGCAUGCUCGCCCCAGGCCCCAGGUGGUGAUUGUUCUAAUCAAAGGGGCCCCUUGCGGCCACGUGCCCACUGCUGAUUUCCCUGGUAACUAAUGAGCCCACCUGAGGUCACUUCCCCUGUAACUGGUAACCUGCCCUUUCCCGGGAGCGAAGCCUGCCACCGUGUCCUGCCUGCCGUCCACCACACACAAUGGGGCGUCUCUCCGGGACUCUGCUUCAGACGUAGAAAGCUUGCUGAUCUCUGGUGGAGACAAAUACAGUUUAAGAUAGUGGCUGCAGCAGAACCAGAGCGGGGGCCCCAAGUGUGGCAAGACAGUCUCUUGUUAGUCUGGAUUAAAUAUCAGAUGGAAUCUACUGCCCGUGUUCGAGGUCUGCAUACGGGGGGAGCUUGUGAUGUUGUUCAAGGGCUGGCAGAGCGCUCUUGGCCUGUGGACCCCCAGCUUCCCACAGAACCUUGCACGCUUUCUCCCACAUGCCGGCCAGGGGCACAGACAGACCCUCCACUGCGCCUGCCUGCACCCCGCCCCUUGUCACGCUUACGGCUGCUCACCCCGUCAGGUCGCAGCCUCUGCUCCUCUGUGAGCCUUCGCGGCUCCUCCCAGGGCCCAGGUGCCCAGUUUCUAGCCUUCUAGCCAUCAGCACCAGCCACAUGUCUGCUUCCUGUUCUGCCCUGUGUCCUGUGGCCUCCUCCAUGGACGCUGUGCCCCCAUCCCACACGUGACUGUGACGCGCUGCCCGUCACAGGGGGAUCGACUGCCCACCCCUAGACUCAGCAUGUGUGACUGACGUCUCGCCCACUGGAGGAUGCAGAGGUCAUACAGGCGAGGAUCCUACCCUGCUGCUCUUGAAGUUUUUGGCAGCCACUCAACAAGGGACCCCAAACUCCAUGUCAGGGAGACCACACUAGAGGACUUGAGGCCUCACGAAGAGAGGACCCCCACCAUCUGUUUGCAGCACCACCUUCCUCCUGAGACCCUGACCACGGAGUCCCUGGGAGUUCAUGGUUUGAACUGUGUCCUCUGGAGAAAGACAUGUUGGGGUCCUAACCCCCAGGACCUCAGAAAGGGACCUUAUUCAGCGAUAGGGCUUUCACAGACACUGUCAAGCUACAGUGAGGUCAUUAGGGAGGGAUUGAAUCCAACACAACUGGUGUUCCUGGAAGAAAAGAAAAACUGGACAGAGAGACACGGGGAAAUACCAGGUGAAGAUGAAGGCAGAGGUCCAGGUGAUGCUUCUGCAAGCCAAAGUGGCCGGCAGCCACCAAAAGGGAUUGUUUCCCAGAACCCUCAGGACCAACCAGCCCCGGGACACCCUGACCUCAGACUUCUGGCUUCCAGAACGUGAGACUACACCUCUCUUUUUUGAGCCACCUGGUGUGUGCAGUCCUUGGUUUCAACAGCGCUAGCAAAGGAAUACAGGAGAUAAUAAAAUGGUUGUUGUUUUC
Bos taurus (domestic cattle) is the source of this 2216-nucleotide long non-coding RNA. The record is from Ensembl. Lineage: Eukaryota; Metazoa; Chordata; Mammalia; Artiodactyla; Bovidae.